This 556-nucleotide long non-coding RNA is filed under the name Rattus norvegicus (Norway rat). Its description in RNAcentral is "long non-coding RNA NONRATT015573". The record is from RNAcentral. Lineage: Eukaryota; Metazoa; Chordata; Mammalia; Rodentia; Muridae.
AUGGAGAUGAGGAUGAGGAAGAUGAGGAAGAAGAUGAAGCUGGUCCACCUGAAGGAUACGAAGAUGAGGAUGAGGAUGAGGAUGAAGCUGGCUCAGAAGUAGGAGAGGGAGAAGAGGAGGAUGAAGAAGACGAUGAUGAUUACGUUGAUGAAGGGGAGGAAGAGGAAGAAGAGGGUCCUCGGGGAGAGAAAAGAAAGCGAGAUGCUGAAGAUGACGGGGAGGAAGAUGAUGAUUAGACCCUCCAAGGAGAGGCUGCCUGACACUCCCGGUCGUGCAGUAGGGCGGUCACAUUGUCUGUGUUUCUUUAUGUAUGAUAGCUGUCCCAGUAGGAGAUGAUGUGUAACUUUUUAUAGGAAAAGUGUGGUUUUACUAUUUUGGCCUUACCAUUCCGGAUAAGAUUUGCUAGUCUGUUAAUCAUAAUGUACUUAGAAAAGAAUUCUCCUUCAUCUUCCCAUGGUGAAAUUCUCUAGCAUUGUAUUUAGAUUCUGGAUUUUUAUAAUUCAUGCUUAAUGUAUUAGACAUUUUUAGCCCAUAAUUAAAACAUGGUUGCUUUUAC